Apodemus sylvaticus (European woodmouse) is the source of this 134-nucleotide small nucleolar RNA. RefSeq annotates it as small nucleolar RNA SNORA17. The record is from RefSeq and is a predicted model, not a curated record. The transcript has a single exon. Lineage: Eukaryota; Metazoa; Chordata; Mammalia; Rodentia; Muridae.
CCUGCCCACAGAGGUGUUGCACAUGUGGCUGCUGUGACACAUUUAUGUGUCAGUAGACGGCAGAGAGGAGAGACGUUAUAUCUACACCCAGUGUUCUGACCUAGGAACAUCUGAAUGAUUAGUAGCCUAACAUU